RNAcentral lists this ribosomal RNA (324 nucleotides) under uncultured eukaryote. RNAcentral's name for it is "partial 18S ribosomal RNA". It matches the Rfam family "Eukaryotic small subunit ribosomal RNA", at positions 1470 to 1796 of the family's 1831-position model. The record is from RNAcentral.
CCCUUAGAAGUUCUGGGCUGCACGCGCGCGACACUGAUGCGCUCAAGGAGUUUACGACCUUGCCUGGAAAGGUUGGGUAAUCUUCUUAAAAAACAUCGUGAUGGAGCUAGAUUAUUGCAACUAUUAAUCUUCAACGAGGAAUUCCUAGUAAGCGCGAGUCAUCAGCUCGUGCUGAUUACGUCCCUGCCCUUUGUACACACCGCCCGUCGCUCCUACCGAUUGCGUGCUACUGAAUAAUUCGGACUGCAGCAACGUUCGGUUCCUGAAUGUCGCAGUGGAAAGUUUAGUGAACCUUAUCACUUAGAGGAAGGAGAAGUCGUAACA